AACGAACGCUGGCGGCAUGCCUAACACAUGCAAGUCGAACGAACCCUUCGGGGUUAGUGGCGCACGGGUGCGUAACGCGUGGGGAUCUGCCCUUUGCUUCGGAAUAACAGUUAGAAAUGACUGCUAAUACCGGAUGAUGUCGCAAGACCAAAGAUUUAUCGGUAAAGGAUGAACCCGCGUAGGAUUAGCUAGUUGGUGAGGUAAAGGCUCACCAAGGCGACGAUCCUUAGCUGGUCUGAGAGGAUGAUCAGCCACACUGGGACUGAGACACGGCCCAGACUCCUACGGGAGGCAGCAGUGGGGAAUAUUGGACAAUGGGCGAAAGCCUGAUCCAGCAAUGCCGCGUGAGUGAUGAAGGCCCUAGGGUUGUAAAGCUCUUUUACCAGGGAUGAUAAUGACAGUACCUGGAGAAUAAGCACCGGCUAACUCCGUGCCAGCAGCCGCCGUAA
Molecule: ribosomal RNA, 449 nt
Filed under: uncultured bacterium
Lineage: Bacteria
Description: partial 16S ribosomal RNA
Rfam family: Bacterial small subunit ribosomal RNA
Source: RNAcentral